CAUGCACCGGUGGGGUCCCUCGGCUUGGCCUGCACCCUCUCGCAAUCCAGGACCCCUAGAGGGAUGUUGGAGAGCCGGUUUCAGCCCGAUCCUGCAGGCCAGGCCGAGGGACCCCACUGGUGCACG
This 126-nucleotide microRNA precursor is filed under the name Myotis davidii. Its description in RNAcentral is "mir-9193 microRNA precursor family". It matches the Rfam family "mir-9193 microRNA precursor family". The record is from Rfam by way of RNAcentral. Lineage: Eukaryota; Metazoa; Chordata; Mammalia; Chiroptera; Vespertilionidae.